Molecule: long non-coding RNA, 419 nt
Filed under: Phoenix dactylifera (date palm)
Lineage: Eukaryota; Viridiplantae; Streptophyta; Magnoliopsida; Arecales; Arecaceae
Description: long non-coding RNA (PDAC_LNC021453)
Source: RNAcentral
CCGAGUUGGGUUUGAAUUUGUUACAUGAGAACUCAAACUUUGGGCUAACACCAAACCGAAUUAAAAAAAAAAAUGCUAUAAAUCGAACCGAAGAGAUUUGUUUAGGUCAAAUUCCCAGUUUGCCCCUCUUCUUUUUUUUUUGCACACCCCUAAUCACAUAACAAUGCACAAUUGUUUGACUAUUUUUCUUGAACUAACUUUCUUUUUCAUCUCUUAAAUAACAUUGUAUCUGUUAUAUACUAAAUAAUUAUUUCAGUAAAAUGCCCGAUAAACAUUACCAUUAGAUGUAGAGGUGCCACUACAUGACAAAUAACUUCCUUUUUCAAGAAAUAGUUAAGAAAUAGCAGUAUAAGUAUGAGGCCCAAUAAUUCCACAUCAGAAAGACUCGUUUUAGAGCCUGGGCAUAUGAGGCGGAUAUC